GAAAGGAUAUAGAUAUAUGAGUAAACGUGUAUAACCAAGGGUAGAGAAAGACAGAAUGAGCUCUCUGUAAAAUCAAUACGGAGCUACGUUGGUAGAAGUACAUGUAGGAAGAACUCGUACUCUAAAAGCACGAGGCAAUACCAGUGGUUUCCAACCAUCUCUUUUUAAUUAUUUGACUAAGACAAAAUAAUAUUAAAUUUGUUUGAAUAGCAGAAAACAUCGCCGAUGUAUUGUAAAUAACGCUUCUCUUCGAUUCGGAAAAACGAAGCCACACAACGGCCACUCGACAAAGGAAAAAAUAUACACAGUCUAGUCCGAUCAAUUUCAGUGUCAUCUCUCCGUAAUUGUUCUAUGCGAACCUAUCAGUCACACGUCGUAGCAUGCAUCAACGAGGCUGGAGCAGAAAAGAAAAGAAAAAAGAGUAUGCACGAGAUAAGCAAGAAG
This 444-nucleotide unclassified non-coding RNA is filed under the name Bombus terrestris (buff-tailed bumblebee). Its description in RNAcentral is "misc RNA ENSBTSG00005034833.1". Lineage: Eukaryota; Metazoa; Arthropoda; Insecta; Hymenoptera; Apidae. The record is from RNAcentral.